Molecule: ribosomal RNA, 497 nt
Filed under: uncultured bacterium
Lineage: Bacteria
Description: partial 16S ribosomal RNA
Rfam family: Bacterial small subunit ribosomal RNA
Source: RNAcentral
GACGAACGCUGGCGGCGUGCCUAAUGCAUGCAAGUUGAGCGCUGAAGGUUGGUACUUGUACCGACUGGAUGAGCAGCUAACGGGUGAGUAACGCGUGGGGAAUCUGCCUUUUAUCGGGGGACAACUUUUGGAAACGAAUGCUAAUACCGCAUAAAAACUUUAAACACACGUUUUAAGUUUGAAAGAUGCAAUUUCAUCACUCAAAGAUGAUCCCGCGUUGUAUUAGCUAGUUGGUGAGGUAAAGUCUCACCAAGGCGAUGAUACAUAUCCGACCUGAGAGGGUGAUAGGAAAAAUUGGGAAUGAGAAAAGGCCAAAAAUGAGACGGGAGGCAGAAGGAGGGAAACAUCGGAAAUGGACGAAAGUCUGAAAGAGCAGAGCCGAGUGAGUGGAGAAGGGUUACGGAUCGUAAAACUCUGUUGGUAGAGAAGAACGUAGGUGAGAGUGGAAAGCUCAUAAAGUGACGGUAACUAACCAGAAAGGGACGGCUAACUACGUG